AGUGAGGCCACAAGAAGAAGUUGUGACCUGGUGUGACCAGUCUGUGACCUGGUGGGGAGAAGGCUCACAAGAACCCAAUCAUGCUAGCACCCUGAUCUUGGACUUCUACAGUAAAGAGCUGGUCACACACAGAGAGAACCAAACUUUUUAAUUUGUAGAGGAGCAUUGCCAUCUGGAUGAAAGAUUACAUUCUGAAGGCUCAAUAAGUGAGUUUUAUUUCCAAACUUUAUUACUCACUCUUUAAGAUGCCUUUUCUACAUCUGUAA
This 266-nucleotide long non-coding RNA is filed under the name Mustela putorius furo (domestic ferret). RNAcentral describes it as "lncRNA (ENSMPUG00000030167.1)". The record is from RNAcentral. Lineage: Eukaryota; Metazoa; Chordata; Mammalia; Carnivora; Mustelidae.